This 221-nucleotide long non-coding RNA is filed under the name Gossypium barbadense (sea-island cotton). Its description in RNAcentral is "long non-coding RNA (GBAR_LNC021622)". The record is from RNAcentral. Lineage: Eukaryota; Viridiplantae; Streptophyta; Magnoliopsida; Malvales; Malvaceae.
UCAGUCAAUUUUGCUCAAAAAUGCAGAAUUUGGAUAACAAAGCAGAUUUGAGACACCAUCUUCAACUUUAAGUGCACUAACCAUUUUACAUGUCAUCGUCGUAUCAAACAAACAAAUCAAAGACAUGCAUGUUUUCAAGCAUUCAUACAUCUCAAAUCUCAUACGCACAUUCUUGUUUAGACAAAGUAGUUUCUCACAAAAGAUCAAUGAGUGCACAUUUU